CAUGCAGGUCGAGGGGCAGCAUUUUAGUUUGCUUGCAAACUAAAGAUGGCGACCGGCGCACGGGUGAGUAACACGCUAUCCAACCUGCCGAUAACUCGGGGAUAGCCUUUCGAAAGAAAGAUUAAUAUCCGAUAGUAUAUUAAAACCGCAUGGUUUUACUAUUAAAGAAUUUCGGUUAUCGAUGGGGAUGCGUUCCAUUAGUUUGUUGGCGGGGUAACGGCCCACCAAGACUACGAUGGAUAGGGGUUCUGAGAGGAAGGUCCCCCACAUUGGAACUGAGACACGGUCCAAACUCAUACGGGAGGCAGCAGUGAGGAAUAUUGGUCAAUGGACGAGAGUCUGAACCAGCCAAGUAGCGUGAAGGAUGACUGCCCUAUGGGUUGUAAACUUCUUUUAUAUGGGAAUAAAAGUAUUCCACGUGUGGGAUUUUGUAUGUACCAUAUGAAUAAGGAUCGGCUAACUCCGUGCCAGCAGCCGCGGUAAUACGGAGGAUCCGAGCGUUAUCCGGAUUUAUUGGGUUUAAAGGGAGCGUAGGUGGAUUGUUAAGUCAGUUGUGAAAGUUUGCGGCUCAACCGUAAAAUUGCAGUUGAAACUGGCAGUCUUGAGUACAGUAGAGGUGGGCGGAAUUCGUGGUGUAGCGGUGAAAUGCUUAGAUAUCACGAAGAACUCCGAUUGCGAAGGCAGCUCACUAGACUGCAACUGACACUGAUGCUCGAAAGUGUGGGUAUCAAACAGGAUUAGAUACCCUGGUAGUCCACACAGUAAACGAUGAAUACUCGCUGUUUGCGAUAUACAGUAAGCGGCCAAGCGAAAGCAUUAAGUAUUCCACCUGGGGAGUACGCCGGCAACGGUGAAACUCAAAGGAAUUGACGGGGGCCCGCACAAGCGGAGGAACAUGUGGUUUAAUUCGAUGAUACGCGAGGAACCUUACCCGGGCUUAAAUUGCAUUUGAAUAAUCUGGAAACAGGUUAGCCGCAAGGCAAAUGUGAAGGUGCUGCAUGGUUGUCGUCAGCUCGUGCCGUGAGGUGUCGGCUUAAGUGCCAUAACGAGCGCAACCCUUAUCUUUAGUUACUAACAGGUCAUGCUGAGGACUCUAGAGAGACUGCCGUCGUAAGAUGUGAGGAAGGUGGGGAUGACGUCAAAUCAGCACGGCCCUUACGUCCGGGGCUACACACGUGUUACAAUGGGGGGUACAGAAGGCAGCUACCUGGCGACAGGAUGCUAAUCCCAAAAACCUCUCUCAGUUCGGAUCGAAGUCUGCAACCCGACUUCGUGAAGCUGGAUUCGCUAGUAAUCGCGCAUCAGCCAUGGCGCGGUGAAUACGUUCCCGGGCCUUGUACACACCGCCCGUCAAGCCAUGAAAGCCGGGGGUACCUGAAGUACGUAACCGCAAGGAGCUCCUAGG
Molecule: ribosomal RNA, 1405 nt
Filed under: bacterium NLAE-zl-G352
Lineage: Bacteria
Description: 16S ribosomal RNA
Rfam family: Bacterial small subunit ribosomal RNA
Source: RNAcentral